UGAUCUGAACAGUUCUCAGUAACUCCACAGCAAGAGUUUGCAGGGACGGCCUACUUACGGUAUUCAGUUCUCUGCCUGUUCUAAAAGGGAGACUGCUUUAAACAUUUUCUAAAACUAGAACAAUGAAUUAUUUGCGGGGAAAACUUUGACUAUUGCAUUGGAGAUUUUGUGGAGCUACUGCUUCCGGUCACAGGGCACCUCGGAUGGGCUGAAGCCGUCAGAUAAACCUUUUUAUCAGCAGUGCAUGGAGUCCCCAGGACUACUUUCCAUAUUCAACAAAACCUCUCUUUGCAUAGAUGCAGGCAUAAAAGCAGGACAUUCAUUCAGAAACCAGAGUGCCCUCAAAGGUCAUCACAGAGGCAGUUAAGUUCUUUGAUGCCAGGAAAAAUAAAAUGCUGCGUGCCUCAUGAAAUUUCAGAACCUGAUUGCAAAAGGAUCCUGCAAAGAGGAAAUAAAAUGUAGCAAGGUGGACUGCUCUACAUGAUGUGUUUGUCAAUGGAAUUUUUCCACAUCUCAUACCAUGAACAUGAGAAAAAAUGAUUAUUAAUGACUGAAGCUUGAUGAAAUUCCAAAGCCUACCUCUUCUCUUCUCAAAUUAGAGAAAAAUGAGCCGGCGGAACCUGCUGGAUCUGCAAGGUGUGCAGAGAGGCAUCCGAGAGGCGCCCCGCGCAGUAAGUAGC
Long non-coding RNA from Phyllostomus discolor (pale spear-nosed bat), 680 nucleotides. RefSeq lists it as uncharacterized. Lineage: Eukaryota; Metazoa; Chordata; Mammalia; Chiroptera; Phyllostomidae. The record is from RefSeq and is a predicted model, not a curated record. The transcript has 4 exons.